Molecule: ribosomal RNA, 407 nt
Filed under: uncultured bacterium
Lineage: Bacteria
Description: partial 16S ribosomal RNA
Rfam family: Bacterial small subunit ribosomal RNA
Source: RNAcentral
AUUGAACGCUGGCGGCAGGCCUAACACAUGCAAGUCGAGCGGAGCGGCGGACGGGGAAGUAAUGCCUAGGAAUCGGCAUGGUAGUGAGGGAUAAGGUCCGGAACGGGGCGCUAAUGCCGCAUCCUAUCACAUUAGCCUAGGUCGGAUUAGCUAGUUGGUGGGGUAAAGGCCUACCAAGGCGACGAUCCGUAACUGGUCUGAGAGGAUGAUCAGUCACACUGGAACUGAGACACGGCCCAGACUCCUACGGGAGGCAGCAGUGGGGAAUAUUGGGCAAUGGGCGAAAGCCUGAUGCAGCCAUGCCGCGUGUGUGAAGAAGGUCUUCGGAUUGUAAAGCACUUUCAGUGGGGAGGCGUUACCCGCAGAAGAAGCACCGGCUAACUCCGUGCCAGCAGCCGCGGUAAUAC